AGCCUUAGGGAAUUUUAUCUAAGGUUAAACCUGCCCAAUGUUAUUUUAUUAAUGGCCGCGGUACUUUGACCGUGCUAAGGUAGCGCAAUCAAUUGGCUUUUAAUUGAAGCCAUGUAUGAAUGGAAUCACGGGGUUUAGCUGUCUCUUAACUAAUUUAUUGAAAUUACUAUUCAGGUGAAAAAGCCUGAAAAAUGAAAAAAGACGAGAAGACCCUUAGAGUUUUACCUAACUUGAAAUUAUUUUUGGAACAGUUUUGUUGGGGCAACAUAGGAACAAUUCUAACCUCCUGUAACCUAUACACCGAUAAUUUUAAAUGUGAAUAAACUACCUUAGGGAUAACAGCAUAAUUUUAUAAAUAAGUUUGUGACCUCGAUGUUGGACUAGGAAACUAAGAGGCUAACCGCCUUUUAGGAAAGUUCUGUUCGAACUAUUAUUCCU
Molecule: ribosomal RNA, 438 nt
Filed under: Rostanga byga
Lineage: Eukaryota; Metazoa; Mollusca; Gastropoda; Nudibranchia; Dorididae
Description: partial large subunit ribosomal RNA
Rfam family: Bacterial large subunit ribosomal RNA
Source: RNAcentral